CCUACGGGAGGCAGCAGUGGGGAAUUUUGGACAAUGGGCGCAAGCCUGAUCCAGCCAUGCCGCGUGUGGGAAGAAGGCCUUCGGGUUGUAAACCACUUUUGUCAGGGAAGAAACGGUCUGAACUAAUACUUUGGACUAAUGACGGUACCUGAAGAAUAAGCACCGGCUAACUACGUGCCAGCAGCCGCGGUAAUACGUAGGGUGCAAGCGUUAAUCGGAAUUACUGGGCGUAAAGCGUGCGCAGGCGGCUUUGCAAGACAGAUGUGAAAUCCCCGGGCUCAACCUGGGAACUGCAUUUGUGACUGCAUGGCUAGAGUACGGUAGAGGGGGAUGGAAUUCCGCGUGUAGCAGUGAAAUGCGUAGAUAUGCGGAGGAACACCGAUGGCGAAGGCAAUCCCCUGGACCUGUACUGACGCUCAUGCACGAAAGCGUGGGGAGCAAACAGGAUUAGAUACCCUGGUAGUCCACGCCCUAAACGAUAGUACAACUGGUUGUUGGGAGGGUUUCUUCUCAGUAACGAAGCUAACGCGUGAAGUUGACCGCCGNGGGGAGUACGGGCCGCAAGGUUGAAACGUCAAAGUUGAAGUUGACGG
This 593-nucleotide ribosomal RNA is filed under the name uncultured bacterium. Its description in RNAcentral is "bacterial SSU rRNA". It matches the Rfam family "Bacterial small subunit ribosomal RNA", at positions 338 to 916 of the family's 1533-position model. The record is from RNAcentral.